This 2405-nucleotide long non-coding RNA is filed under the name Taeniopygia guttata (zebra finch). RNAcentral describes it as "lncRNA (ENSTGUG00000026603.1)". The record is from RNAcentral. Lineage: Eukaryota; Metazoa; Chordata; Aves; Passeriformes; Estrildidae.
AUGGAUUUUGGGGUGCUUGAAGGUGAAUUUGGGGUGCUGGAGGAUGGGAUUCGGGUGCUGGAAGGUGAAUUUAGGGUGCUGAGUUUUGCUGUCCCGGGUUUGCUGUCCCGGCUCUGUCCCGGCUCUAUCCCAGCUCUGUCCCGGUUCUGUCCCGGUUGUGUCCCUGCUCUAUCCCUGCUCUGUCCCGGCUCUGUCCUGGGUUUGCUGUCCCAGCUCUGUCCUGGGUUUGCUGUCCCGGUUCUAUCCCAGCUCUGUCCCGGCUCUGUCCCGGCUCUGUCCCAGCUCUGUCCUGGGUUUGCUGUCCCGGCUCUGUCCCGGCUCUGUCCCGGCUCUAUCCCUGCUCUGUCCUGGCUCUGUCCCGGUUCUGUCCCGGCUCUGUCCCGGUUCUGUCCCGGCUCUAUCCCUGCUCUGUCCCGGCUCUAUCCCUGCUCUGUCCCGGUUCUGUCCCAGUUCUGUCCCGGCUCUGUCCUGGGUUUGCUGUCCCGGUUCUGUCCCGGCCUGUCCCGGGCCGGCCCCUGCCCGGAGCCCUCCCGUGACCCAUUCCCCGGGCCGGGGGCUCGGGCCAGCCCCGGUCUGGCCCCGGUCUGGCCCCGGUCUGGCCCCGCGGGCCCGGGGCAGGGCCUGGGCUGGGUAAAAGGAAUCCGAGCUCCGGCCGAGCCGUUCCCCGGCCCCUCCAGCAUUGUCCCGAUCCUGGCCCGGGACAGCCGCGGGGAGCCGAGCCCGGCUGCGGCCUGGGGGGAGCAGGAGCGGAGCGGGUCCCCCGUGACCCCUCUGACAGGACAGGGACAGCGGCUGUGCCCUUGUCCCCACCCUGGCACCUCAUGCCUGCGCUCCUGGGGGUGGCCAGGAGAUCCUGGGGGUGUCCAGGAGGUCCUGGGGAUGUUCAGCCAGUCCUGGGGGUGUCAAGUGGGUCCUGGAAAUGCCCAGGAGGUCCUGGAAGUGUCCAGAAAGUCCUGGAGAUGUCCAGCAGAUCCUGGGGAUGUCCAGGAGGUCCUGAGGAUGGCCAGCAGGUCCUGGGGAUGGCCAGCAGGUCCUGGGGAUGGCCAGCAGGUCCUGGGGGUGUCCAGGAUGUCCUGGGGGUGUCCAGGAGGCCUUGAGGUGCCCAGGAGAUCCUGGGGAUGUUCAGCAAGUCCUGGGGGUGUCAAGCGGGUCCUGGGGAUGCCCAGGAGGUCCUGGAAGUGUCCAGAAAGUCCUGGAGAUGUCCAGCAGAUCCUGAGGAUGUCCAGGAGGUCCUGAGGAUGGCCAGCAGGUCCUGGGGGUGUCCAGUAGGUUCUGGGGUAUUCACCAAGUCCUGAGAGUGUCCAACAGGUCCUGGAGGUAUCCAGAAAGUCCUGGAGAUGUCCAACAGGUCUUGGGGAUGUCCAGGAAGUCCUGGAGAUACCCAGCAGGUCCUGGGAGUCUCCAGCAGGUCCUGGGGGUGUCCAGUAGGUUCUGGGCUGCCCAGCAAGUCCUGGGGGUGUUCAGCGAGUCCAGAGGAUGUCCAGCGGUUCCUGGGGAUGCCCAGGAAGUCAUGGGAGUGUCCAGGAGGUCUUGGGGUGCCCAGGAGGUCCUGGGGAUGUCCAGGAGGUCUUGGGGAUGCCCAGCAAGUCCUGGGGAUGUUCAGCAAGUCCUGGGGGUGUCAAGCGGGUCCUGGGGAUGCCCAGGAGGUCCUGGAAGUGUCCAGAAAGUCCUGGAGAUGUCCAGCAGAUCCUGGGGACACCCAGAGGCUCCAGGAGGGCUGCUGGGGACAGGUCCCGCGGUGCGGGUGGCACUGGUGCGGGGAGGUUGGGGACGGCCACCAGCCCCGGGGCCACUGGGGCGGGCGAGGAAGGACAGGAAAGUGAAAGUCCGGCUGGGCUGUCCCCAUGGCCACCACAACAAAGCUCCUGCUCCCUCUUUUCUGGCUCCGUCACCCCGUGUCCCUUUGGGAGUUGUGUCCCCAGUCUGGGAAUUGUGUCCCCACUCUGGGAAUUGUGUCCCCACUCUGGGAAUUGUGUCCCCACUUUGGGAAUUGUGUCCCAAGUUUGGGAAUUGUGUCCCCAGUCUGGGAAUUGUGUCCCCACUUUGGGAAUUGUGUCCCCAGUUUGGGAAUUGUGUCCCUAGUUUGGGAAUUGUGUCCCCAGUCUGGGAAUUGUGUCCCCAGUCUGGGAGUUGUGUCCCCAGUCUGGGAAUUGUGUCCCUGUCCAGUUUGGGGACACUCGGGGACACUUGGGGACACUUGGGGACACAGGGGUGGCACCAGGACCAGCUGUCCCCUCCAGCUGGGAAUGGGAAUGUGGGAAUGUUCCACGGGGUUUAACGGGAAUGUUCCACUCAGCCCCUUUAGGGUUUGGGGUCUGUGGGGUUUUUAGAAUCUGUGGGGUCUUUAGGGUCUGGAAUCUGUGGUGUCUUUAGGGUUUGGGGUCUGUGGGGUUUUUAGGGUCUGU